GUUCUUUUAUUAGGGAAGAAUAAAUGAUGGAAAAAUCAUUCUGACGGUACCUAAUGAAUAAGCCCCGGCUAACUAUGUGCCAGCAGCCGCGGUAAUACAUAGGGGGCAAGCGUUAUCCGGAAUUAUUGGGCGUAAAGGGUGCGUAGGCGGUUAAAUAAGUUUAUGGUCUAAGUGCAAUGCUCAACAUUGUGAUGCUAUAAAAACUGUUUAGCUAGAGUAAGAUAGAGGCAAGUGGAAUUCCAUGUGUAGUGGUAAAAUGCGUAAAUAUAUGGAGGAACACCAGUAGCGAAGGCGGCUUGCUGGGUCUUUACUGACGCUGAGGCACGAAAGCGUGGGGAGCAAACAGGAUUAGAUACCCUGGUAGUCCACGCCGUAAACGAUGAGUACUAAACGUUGGGUAAAACCAGUGUUGAAGUUAACACAUUAAGUACUCCGCCUGAGUAGUACGUACGCAAGUAUGAAACUUAAAGGAAUUGACGGGACUCCGCACAAGCGGUGGAUCAUGUUGUUUAAUUCGAAGGUACCCGAAAAACCUCACCAGGUCUUGACAUGCUUCUGCAAAGCUGUAGAAACACAGUGGAGGUUAUCAGUUGCACAGGUGGUGCAUGGUUGUCGUCAGCUCGUGUCGUGAGAUGUUGGGUUAAGUCCCGCAACGAGCGCAACCCUUAUUGUUAGUUACCAGCACGUAAUGGUGGGGACUUUAGCAAGACUGCCAGUGAUAAAUUGGAGGAAGGUGGGGACGACGUCAAAUCAUCAUGC
RNAcentral lists this ribosomal RNA (759 nucleotides) under 'Capsicum annuum cv. Ixtapa' phytoplasma. RNAcentral describes it as "bacterial SSU rRNA". It matches the Rfam family "Bacterial small subunit ribosomal RNA", at positions 430 to 1198 of the family's 1533-position model. The record is from RNAcentral. Lineage: Bacteria; Bacillati; Mycoplasmatota; Mollicutes; Acholeplasmatales; Acholeplasmataceae.